This is a long non-coding RNA of Aethalodelphis obliquidens (Pacific white-sided dolphin), 604 nucleotides long. RefSeq lists it as uncharacterized. The transcript has 4 exons. The record is from RefSeq and is a predicted model, not a curated record. NCBI's taxonomy places the organism in Eukaryota, Metazoa, Chordata, Mammalia, Artiodactyla, Delphinidae.
AUUCUCUGUAAUAGAAGAUAAGACUCUCCAGAGUGGGGCAAUAAAAAUAUUUUACAACAGUAUUCAAUGCCAAAAUGUCUCACCGGGAAAAUAGCUAAAUAUUAAUCACAACAACAUCUACAUAAGAAAGGAUCCGGUUGUCUCAACAUCAUGUGAUAUCAACUGUGACCACUCAUGGCAGCUCAGCUGAGAUGGACAUGUCGAAGAUGUCCACGAGUUCUUCAAGACUUCUUUCCAUGUGGUGUUCUCUUAUCAUUAGAAACGUAUAGCCAGAGCUCCUUAAAAGGCAGCAGGAUGCUAAUAAAACUCCCCACGUGGAUACACUUCAUUGGAAUGUGUAUGCCUCUCUGCCUAUUGAAAUCCUACACAUCCUUCAAGAUGUUGAGAUAUUAAGUAUUGAGCAAAGUGAUAAAGGUCUGAUUGCCACCAGGAACUCUCAGCCCAUUCCCCCAUUCCACUGCACUGAUUUUGCAACCAAAGCUCCAUCUCUUAUAAGAGAAUGAAAACAGAUAUGGAGGAAAGGAGGAUACAGAGGAGCUGCCUGCAUUAAUGUGUGUAUCCAACUUAGUCAGCCAAAACCAGCCCAUUACACUUGCAUUAUCUU